GAUUAGAGUUUGAUCCUGGCUCAGGAUGAACGCUAGCUACAGGCUUAACACAUGCAAGUCGAGGGGCAGCAUAACGAAAGCUUGCUUUUGUUGAUGGCGACCGGCGCACGGGUGAGUAACGCGUAUCCAACCUUCCCUAUAGUAGAGGAUAGCCCGGCGAAAGUCGGAUUAAUACUCUAUGUUGUAUUUCGAGGACAUCUGAAGAAUACCAAAGGUUUACCGCUAUAGGAUGGGGAUGCGUCUGAUUAGGUUGUUGGCGGGGUAACGGCCCACCAAGCCUACGAUCAGUAGGGGUUCUGAGAGGAAAGUCCCCCACAUUGGAACUGAGACACGGUCCAAACUCCUACGGGAGGCAGCAGUGAGGAAUAUUGGUCAAUGGACGGAAGUCUGAACCAGCCAAGUAGCGUGCAGGAUGACGGCCCUAUGGGUUGUAAACUGCUUUUAUACAGGGAUAAAGUGAGCCACGUGUGGCUUUUUGUAGGUACUGUAUGAAUAANGACCGGCUAAUUCCGUGCCAGCAGCCGCGGUAAUACG
RNAcentral lists this ribosomal RNA (534 nucleotides) under uncultured bacterium. RNAcentral describes it as "bacterial SSU rRNA". It matches the Rfam family "Bacterial small subunit ribosomal RNA", at positions 1 to 527 of the family's 1533-position model. The record is from RNAcentral.